AAUGAACGCUGGCGGCAUGCCUUACACAUGCAAGUCGAACGGCAGCAUGACCUAGCUUGCUAGGUUGAUGGCGAGUGGCGAACGGGUGAGUAAUGCAUCGGAACGUGCCUUUUAGUGGGGGAUAACGUAGCGAAAGUUACGCUAAUACCGCAUAUUCUCUGAGGAGGAAAGCAGGGGACCUUCGGGCCUUGCGCUAGAAGAGCGGCCGAUGUCGGAUUAGCUAGUUGGUGAGGUAAAGGCUCACCAAGGCAACGAUCCGUAGCGGGUCUGAGAGGAUGAUCCGCCACACUGGGACUGAGACACGGCCCAGACUCCUACGGGAGGCAGCAGUGGGGAAUUUUGGACAAUGGGCGCAAGCCUGAUCCAGCCAUGCCGCGUGAGUGAAGAAGGCCUUCGGGUUGUAAAGCUCUUUCGGCUGGGAAGAAAACGCACCCUCUAAUACAGGGUGUGGAUGACGGUACCAGCAGAAGAAGCACCGGCUAACUACGUG
RNAcentral lists this ribosomal RNA (490 nucleotides) under uncultured bacterium. RNAcentral describes it as "partial 16S ribosomal RNA". It matches the Rfam family "Bacterial small subunit ribosomal RNA", at positions 29 to 507 of the family's 1533-position model. The record is from RNAcentral.